Molecule: ribosomal RNA, 693 nt
Filed under: uncultured bacterium
Lineage: Bacteria
Description: bacterial SSU rRNA
Rfam family: Bacterial small subunit ribosomal RNA
Source: RNAcentral
AACGCUAGCUACAGGCUUAACACAUGCAAGUCGAGGGGCAGCAUGAACUUAGCUUGCUAAGUUUGAUGGCGACCGGCGCACGGGUGAGUAACACGUAUCCAACCUGCCGAUGACUCGGGGAUAGCCUUUCGAAAGAAAGAUUAAUACCCGAUGGCAUAGUUCUUCCGCAUGGUAGAACUAUUAAAGAAUUUCGGUCAUCGAUGGGAAUGCGUUCCAUUAGGUUGUUGGCGGGGUAACGGCCCACCAAGCCUUCGAUGGAUAGGGGUUCUGAGAGGAAGGUCCCCCACAUUGGAACUGAGACACGGUCCAAACUCCUACGGGAGGCAGCAGUGAGGAAUAUUGGUCAAUGGACGAGAGUCUGAACCAGCCAAGUAGCGUGAAGGAUGACUGCCCUAUGGGUUGUAAACUUCUUUUAUAUGGGAAUAAAGUUUUCCACGUGUGGAAUUUUGUAUGUACCAUAUGAAUAAGGAUCGGCUAACUCCGUGCCAGCAGCCGCGGUAAUACGGAGGAUCCGAGCGUUAUCCGGAUUUAUUGGGUUUAAAGGGAGCGUAGGCGGGUUGUUAAGUCAGUUGUGAAAGUUUGCGGCUCAACCGUAAAAUUGCAGUUGAUACUGGCGACCUUGAGUGCAACAGAGGUAGGCGGAAUUCGUGGUGUAGCGGUGAAAUGCUUAGAUAUCACGAAGAACUCCGAUUG